GUUCUUUUGAACAGUUCAUUUCAAAGAACAUGCUGAAGCCGGCUGCGUAAACUGUUUAGAUUCUUACUAAUCUAGCCAAAUUCACUAUCUUCAGAAAGAAGAGACUACAACAGGUGACAGAAGUGUCGCCAACAAGUAAGAUUUUGAAUGAAAGCAAACAAAAAUACUUUUGUUAAACUAUAAGAUAAGUUUUAAGCAUGUUAGUUUCAAAGUCAGUCCUUUUGUAAAUCACAUUUGCAUUUACACACACACACAGAUAUACACACACAUCAGCGUGUGAAACAACGUCUCUGCAAUAUCAAGUCGAGGCUUCUGCAGAAAAUCUCCAUCAUCAU
Molecule: long non-coding RNA, 335 nt
Filed under: Sinocyclocheilus anshuiensis
Lineage: Eukaryota; Metazoa; Chordata; Actinopteri; Cypriniformes; Cyprinidae
Description: lncRNA (ENSSANG00000043020.1)
Source: RNAcentral